This 774-nucleotide ribosomal RNA is filed under the name uncultured Neocallimastigales. RNAcentral describes it as "partial large subunit ribosomal RNA". It matches the Rfam family "Eukaryotic large subunit ribosomal RNA", at positions 22 to 639 of the family's 3401-position model. Lineage: Eukaryota; Fungi; Neocallimastigomycota; Neocallimastigomycetes; Neocallimastigales. The record is from RNAcentral.
UACACGCUGUGACUAGCAUAUCAAUAAGCGGAGGAAAAGAAACUAACAAGGAUUCCCCUAGUAACGGCGAGUGAAGCGGGAAGAGCUCAAAUUUGAAAUCUUAAAGGGUUUCCCUUUACGAAUUGUAGUUUAAAGAAGUGUUUUCUGUUGAGGUUUUGAUAAAAGUUCUUUGGAAUAGGACAUCAUAGAGGGUGAGAAUCCCGUAUUUGACCUUUACUUUCAACUUUGUGAUACACUUUCAAAGAGUCGGAUUGUUUGGGAAUGCAGUCCAAAAUGGGUGGUAAAUUUCAUCUAAAGCUAAAUAUUGGCGAGAGACCGAUAGCGAACAAGUACCGUGAGGGAAAGAUGAAAAGAACUUUGAAAAGAGAGUUAAACAGGUACGUGAAAUUGUCAAAAGGGAAGCGUUUGACACCAGUGUUGUUUUUCUGAAAAUCAAUUAAAGAACUGUUUAUGCUAAGCUGUUUAGACUUUAUCAGCUAACUGUUUAGUUUUGAGCUUUUCUUUAAUGCACUUUUCAGUUAACAAGUCAACAUCAAUUUCUUUUGCUGUAAAAAAGCUUGAGGAAGGUGGCUUGAGACUCGUCUUAAGUGUUUAUAGCCUCUUGCCUAUGCAGUCGGAGAGAUUGAGGUCUGCAGCGUAGAUCCUUCGGGGCUAAAUGCAUUUGUGCUAAGUUAUAGCAUUUUAUAGACAACUUGUUGACUAUGAUUUGUCUUGUAGCUUACUCGCUUAUGUUAUUUUACCUACGCUUAGGAUGUUGACGCGCGUGUGUGCGUG